UCAAGACCAGUCCUGCUGCCUCUUCUGAGGACAAUGAAGGAGUUAUGAGAUUCAUUUAUGGAGCUACACUCCCCUUUCAAAGCUCAUCUACAGUGUGGAAUAAUGGAAAGAAGCCUGGAUUCAGAGAACACCGGCUCCUUCACUCAAUUGCUGUAUGAUCAUGGAACCUGGUUGAAAUCUGGUAUGAAGAUUCAGGCCUCCAGAUGAGGACCUCCUUGCCUUGCUUCAAGUCCAAUGAGGGCAUACAGUCCCUGCCGGAUAACAAGCUUGUGUUAGCAGAUGAGUCUGCUAACUCUGAGUCCCAGAUCUCCUGAGACUUAACACUGCCCACAUCAACGGGACAGAUGUGUACACUUUUGAGCAGCUAUCAAAUUCCUGGAGAUGACUUCCCAUGUGAAUUAAAAGCAGUUUGAUUAACAGUCAAGCCACCUGUGGGGAGUGUAGCAGAAAGUGCCGCCACCCCACCCUAAAUGGGUAAAGACAUUGAUGCUGCAAAUCGGGGGCGCCCGCACACACCCCAGGUGUGGCAAUAUUAGGAGGCAACAGUCCUGUCCAAUGAUCCACGUGACUGUUGAGUUGGUUUGUCUGAACCAAGAAAGUGUCUUUAGCAAGUAUGGACACCUCCUUGAAAAAUAAAGAUCUCAGCCACAAAAGCUGAGAACAAUCUUG
Molecule: long non-coding RNA, 669 nt
Organism: Cervus elaphus (red deer)
Lineage: Eukaryota; Metazoa; Chordata; Mammalia; Artiodactyla; Cervidae
Exons: 3
Source: RefSeq, a predicted model, not a curated record